ACGCUCGACACCUACGGGAGACAGCGGUGGGGAAUAUUGCACAAUGGGGGAAACCCUGAUGCAGCGACGCCGCGUGAGUGAAGAAGUAUUUCGGUAUGUAAAGCUCUAUCAGCAGGGAAGAAAAUGACGGUACCUGAGUAAGAAGCCCCGGCUAACUACGUGCCAGCAGCCGCGGUAAUCUGAGCGGGCUGGCAAGGC
This 198-nucleotide ribosomal RNA is filed under the name uncultured bacterium. RNAcentral describes it as "partial 16S ribosomal RNA". It matches the Rfam family "Bacterial small subunit ribosomal RNA", at positions 328 to 539 of the family's 1533-position model. The record is from RNAcentral.